Molecule: long non-coding RNA, 389 nt
Organism: Plodia interpunctella (Indianmeal moth)
Lineage: Eukaryota; Metazoa; Arthropoda; Insecta; Lepidoptera; Pyralidae
Exons: 5
Source: RefSeq, a predicted model, not a curated record
CGCGUAUCAUGCUAAAUUAAAGUAAUUAAUAUUCACUUUUUCAUUAAAAUGAAUUAUUUAAUCUUUGGAACCUGUGGUGUAAAAACAGCUUACGAACAUAUCAAAUUUGGAAAAGUUAAUGGAUACGAGGAUUCUUGUUUCCUUAUUUAUAAUGGUUUGCCUAUUCUAUGUCUGUAAUGCAGCGGGUUAUGGAAAUGAUGGCACUGCUGAUUAUUGUCCCAACACGCCAGAAGAACUAGCCGCGAUUGACUUUAACCAAUAUAGAAUAAUAAGGGAAUUUGGAGAAAGUAAGGAAGCCUUCGCAGAACGGUGCAGGCCACUGAUCUAUUGAAUAAUAAAAUUAUAAUUAUUUAUUUCUUAAAUAAAUGAGUUUUUAUAAUUCAAGACAU